RNAcentral lists this long non-coding RNA (462 nucleotides) under Dermacentor andersoni. Its description in RNAcentral is "uncharacterized LOC126544286". The record is from RNAcentral. Lineage: Eukaryota; Metazoa; Arthropoda; Arachnida; Ixodida; Ixodidae.
UUUCACUGCAGUAGCAGCAGACGUCAGUUAUAGUGGUCACGUGGUUCGCACUCGAGAUGCCUCCAUUCACGGGCUAUAAAAGAGAGCGACUCCCUAGCUCCCAUCACGCUUCGCAAGGAGACCAUUGGCUUCUGAGAAGAAUGGCUUCAUGCAAGGUUCUACAUUUGGCCGUCUUUGCUCUUGUACUGCAGGCCAUCAUUCUGUGCUUCGGACAACCGGGAAACCUUCCACAAUCCCGGGAUGAUUCUGAUCUUCAAGAAUGUCAAUCGCAGUGUGGCUCAUACAACAAUUACACGUGCAGUGAACAAAACUGCACAUGUAUUUAUGUUGAGAACGACGCGAAUGGCACCUGCUACGACUUAAGUGAUUACGAUUAUUCGGAAAGUGCCAGUGAUACUGCCGCAUAGACGUCAACCAAAGCGGAAGACCUGUCAUGUGCUGUACCACAAUUAUACAGUUCAA